GGUAGUCCAUGCCCUAAACGAUGCAUACUCGGCAUCAGCGAUACACUGUUGGUGCCUGAGGGAAACCAUUAAGUAUGCCACCUGGGGAGUACGACCGCAAGGUUGAAACUCAAAGGAAUUGGCGGGGGUCCGCACAAGCGGUGGAGCAUGUGGUUUAAUUGGAUUCAACGCCGGAAAACUCACCUGGGGAGACUGCCGGAUGUGACUCAGUCUGAAGGACUUUGUCGAAUACAGGUAGAGAGGUGGUGCAUGGCCGUCGUCAGCUCGUACCGUAAGGCGUUCUGUUAAG
RNAcentral lists this ribosomal RNA (289 nucleotides) under uncultured bacterium. Its description in RNAcentral is "partial 16S ribosomal RNA". It matches the Rfam family "Archaeal small subunit ribosomal RNA", at positions 740 to 1033 of the family's 1478-position model. The record is from RNAcentral.